UUUAACACUUAUUUAUAGAUCAUAAAUAAAGCGGAAAUUAUCGCGUUUGAACGAUUUUCAUGAAUAGCGUACCAGCCUGUAUAUUUUAAAUCAAAUCACAAUAAAUUAGCAGCGAUUAAGACGUAUAUCUUCAAACUUUCAUUCAUAACUUAAUAUAAUAAAUAAUUUUUUAACAAAUAAAUAAAUAAUAAUGCAGAAUAAUGCAGAAAUUAGAAGAAAAGCAUUGACUGAAAUACGAGUUAAUUCAUAUAUUCCCGGAUAAUAACUUAUCAAACCAAAAAUAACAUGUUUCGCAUAGGGAAUUGUCUUUAUACACGUAAUACGAUGACAAGUACUUUUACAGCCAUUUUUAUUUGCCUUUUGUUGUUACAAUUUCGGUUCUUGUAAAACGUCAAGAUUUUGUACUAUAUUUAUACAUUUACAGUUUCUUAGUUUACAUAUAACAAAGUCAAGAUGAUUACUAUUACGAUUACGUUGCAAUUACAACAACGGUUACAUCUAUCAUGAUUACGACUACGACUACGACUUCGAUCACAUCACGAUUAAAAGCACGAGCACUAUUACGACUACAACUACAACUACAACUACAA
Molecule: long non-coding RNA, 590 nt
Organism: Vespula vulgaris
Lineage: Eukaryota; Metazoa; Arthropoda; Insecta; Hymenoptera; Vespidae
Exons: 2
Source: RefSeq, a predicted model, not a curated record